UAAAACGUAGGUCCCGAGCGUUAUCCGGAUUUACUGGGCGUAAAGCGUGUUCAGGCGGUCUAGCAAGUCGGGCAUGAAAUCUCUCGGCUCAACCGGGAGGGGUUGUCCGAUACUGCUGGGCUUGAGGGCAGCAGAGGGUGGUGGAAUUCCGGGUGUAGUGGUGAAAUGCGUAGAUAUCCGGAGGAACACCAGUGGCGAAGGCGGCCACCUGGGCUGUACCUGACGCUCCAACACGAAAGCUAGGGGAGCGAACGGGAUUAGAAACCCCGGUAGUCCUAGCCGUAAACGAUGUUGACUAGGUGUCGACGGUCUAAACCCCGCCGGUGCCGGAGCUAACGCACGAAGUCAACCGCCUGGGGACUACGGCCGCAAGGUUA
This 377-nucleotide ribosomal RNA is filed under the name uncultured bacterium. RNAcentral's name for it is "bacterial SSU rRNA". It matches the Rfam family "Bacterial small subunit ribosomal RNA", at positions 521 to 896 of the family's 1533-position model. The record is from RNAcentral.